CCAAUAGCGUAUAUUAAGGUUGUUGCAGUUAAAAAGCUCGUAGUUGAAUUUCGGGAUUAGUACGUUGGUCGUGCCUUCGGUACGUACUGGUGUUACUGAUUCCUACCUUCUGAAGAACCCUCAUGUCAUUAAUUUGGUGUGGCGGGGAAUCAGGACUGUUACUUUGAAAAAAUUAGAGUGUUUAAAGCAGGCUCGCGCUUGAAUACAUUAGCCUGGAAUAAUGAAAUAGGACGUUGAUCCUAUUUUGUUGGUUUCUAGGAUUGACGUAAUGAUUAAUAGGGAUAGUUGGGGGCAUUAGUAUUCAAUUGUCAGAGGUGAAAUUCUUGGAUUUAUUGAAGACUAACUACUGCGAAAGCAUUUGCCAAGGAUGUUUUCAUUAAUCAAGAACGAAAGUUAGGGGAUCGAAGACGAUCAGAUACCGUCGUAGUCUUAACCAUAAACUAUGCCGACUAGGGAUCGGAUGAUGUUAUUUUUAAUGACUCAUUCGGCGCCUUACG
Molecule: ribosomal RNA, 497 nt
Filed under: uncultured Glomeromycotina
Lineage: Eukaryota; Fungi; Glomeromycota
Description: partial small subunit ribosomal RNA
Rfam family: Eukaryotic small subunit ribosomal RNA
Source: RNAcentral